AUUGAGACUGUCCUGGCUACAACGAACGCUGGCGGCGUGCCUAACACAUGCAAGUCGAACGGAAGUAAGAAGCUUGCUUUUUACUUUAGUGGCGCACGGGUGAGUAACGCGUGGAUAAUCUGCCUGAUGCUCUGGGAUAACAUCUCGAAAGGGGUGCUAAUACCGGAUAAGCCCACGAAGUCUUCGGACUUUGCGGGAAAAGGAGGGGACCUUCGGGCCUUCCGACAUCAGAUGAGUCCGCGUCCCAUUAGCUAGUUGGUGGUGUAAAGGACCACCAAGGCGACGAUGGGUAGCUGGUCUGAGAGGAUGAUCAGCCACACUGGAACUGAGACACGGUCCAGACUCCUACGGGAGGCAGCAGUGGGGAAUUUUGCGCAAUGGGGGCAACCCUGACGCAGCAACGCCGCGUGAGUGAUGAAGGCUUUCGGGUCGUAAAGCUCUGUCAGAAGGGAAGAAAUGUGGGUGGCUAAUAUCCAUACCACUUGACGGUACCUUCAAAGGAAGCACCGGCUAACUCCGUGCCAGCCGCCGCGGUAAUAC
Molecule: ribosomal RNA, 540 nt
Filed under: uncultured bacterium
Lineage: Bacteria
Description: bacterial SSU rRNA
Rfam family: Bacterial small subunit ribosomal RNA
Source: RNAcentral